This 424-nucleotide ribosomal RNA is filed under the name uncultured bacterium. Its description in RNAcentral is "bacterial SSU rRNA". It matches the Rfam family "Bacterial small subunit ribosomal RNA", at positions 355 to 776 of the family's 1533-position model. The record is from RNAcentral.
UAGGGAAUAUUGGGCAAUGGGCGAGAGCCUGACCCAGCCAUGCCGCGUGCAGGAAGAAGGCUUUCUGAGUCGUAAACUGCUUUUGACAGGGAAGAAUAAGGCUUACGUGUAGGCUGAUGACGGUACCUGCAGAAUAAGCACCGGCUAACUCCGUGCCAGCAGCCGCGGUAAUACGGAGGGUGCGAGCGUUGUCCGGAUUUAUUGGGUUUAAAGGGUGCGUAGGCGGCUUUUUAAGUCUGGGGUGAAAGCCCGCUGCUCAACAGCGGAACUGCCCUGGAUACUGGAGAGCUUGAGUACAGACGAGGUUGGCGGAAUGGACUGAGUAGCGGUGAAAUGCAUAGAUACAGUCCAGAACCCCGAUUGCGAAGGCAGCUGACUAGGCUGUUACUGACGCUGAGGCACGAAAGCGUGGGGAGCGAACAGG